Molecule: non-coding RNA, 95 nt
Filed under: Tenacibaculum jejuense
Lineage: Bacteria; Pseudomonadati; Bacteroidota; Flavobacteriia; Flavobacteriales; Flavobacteriaceae
Description: Tenacibaculum sp. CNURIC 013 TPP riboswitch aptamer (THI element)
Rfam family: TPP riboswitch aptamer (THI element)
About the family: Vitamin B(1) in its active form thiamin pyrophosphate (TPP) is an essential coenzyme that is synthesised by coupling of pyrimidine and thiazole moieties in bacteria. The previously detected thiamin-regulatory element, thi box was extended, resulting in a new, highly conserved RNA secondary structure, the THI element, which is widely distributed in eubacteria and also occurs in some archaea.
Source: Rfam by way of RNAcentral
UAUAAACUUUAGGAGUAGCUAGAUUACUAGUUUGAGAAAUAUCCUUAGAACCUGAUUUGGUUAAUACCAGCGGAGGGAAAAGUUAUCUUAACUUU